This 447-nucleotide ribosomal RNA is filed under the name uncultured bacterium. Its description in RNAcentral is "bacterial SSU rRNA". It matches the Rfam family "Bacterial small subunit ribosomal RNA", at positions 355 to 825 of the family's 1533-position model. The record is from RNAcentral.
UCGGGAAUUUUGGGCAAUGGGGGAAACCCUGACCCAGCAACGCCGCGUGAAGGAUGAAGUAUUUCGGUAUGUAAACUUCGAAAGAAUAGGAAGAAUAGAUGACGGUACUAUUUAUAAGGUCCGGCUAACUACGUGCCAGCAGCCGCGGUAAUACGUAGGGACCAAGCGUUGUUCGGAUUUACUGGGCGUAAAGGGCGCGUAGGCGGCAAUUCAAGUCAUCUGUGAAAUCUCCGGGCUUAACUCGGAACGGUCAGAUGAUACUGCUUUGCUAGAGUGCAGAAGGGGCAAUCGGAAUUCUUGGUGUAGCGGUGAAAUGCGUAGAUAUCAAGAGGAACACCUGAGGUGAAGACGGGUUGCUGGGCUGACACUGACGCUGAGGCGCGAAAGCCAGGGGAGCAAACGGGAUUAGAUACCCAAGUAGUCCCUGAGCGGGCUGGCAAGGCGCAU